AAGUCGUAACAAGGUUUCCGUAGGUGAACCUGCGGAAGGAUCAUUAGAAAGGAGGGUCAGUUUACUGGCCCGCGAUAGAUAGGUUAGGUUACUAGUAUCGGUAGCUUCUUAUAUAGUCUUGGGACAUUGAUUAUCUCGCCGAGUUUGACAAAGGAUGUAACUCUUUGUCAAUACGUCGUCGAGGAAUCGUGUCACGAAACAACAUCUAUGUGCACCGUAUAUUGCAUUUGCGUAUUUUUCAGUUAGCGUCUGAUUUUUAAAUUUUGUUUACGGCAGUAUUGCUGUUGAACUAAAUGAAAAAACAACUUUUAACAAUGGAUCUCUUGGCUCUC
RNAcentral lists this unclassified non-coding RNA (332 nucleotides) under fungal sp. Its description in RNAcentral is "partial internal transcribed spacer region". The stretch from base 1 to 46 matches the Rfam family "Eukaryotic small subunit ribosomal RNA", at positions 1786 to 1831 of the family's 1831-position model. The record is from RNAcentral. Lineage: Eukaryota; Fungi.